AAGUAGUAUACUUUAAUUUUUCUUAAAACUAUAAUCGUAUAUAUAAUCUGGAAGGAGGACAUUAGGAGGUAUGAAGAUAAAUAAAGGAAAUAAAAAAUUAUACUGUUACUUAGAAAAUCUGUUUUCUAAAAUUGUCCCCAUAUAUAAAGUAAAGAAGAUCAUUGUCAAUGAAAUAACUCUCCCAGAGACCAAAUGACAUGGAUGUAAGCAACUAAUGGUCACUGUAUGGCCUACAACAAUGAGCAAAACAUAUACUUUACAAUUAACUAUGAAACAGAAAGUAGGCGACAUGAAAAAAUGUGAAACAAUUCAAACAAGAAAACCAACAGCUAGAUUUAUGAUGAAACAAUGAAAUAAUAACAAAUAUGUUGGACAACAACCAACUACUUGUCAUCCCUUGUUUGCUAAAGAAGACUGGUUGUUUGUAAAUUCAUGUCAACACAUCACUUUAAAACAAAGUAAAUCAAUUUUCUAUGCAUCAUCAGUGCAAUAACCAGUUACUGAUUCCUUUGCAAUAUUGUUCUGACAGAUAUUAGA
RNAcentral lists this long non-coding RNA (537 nucleotides) under Mytilus galloprovincialis (Mediterranean mussel). The record is from RNAcentral. Lineage: Eukaryota; Metazoa; Mollusca; Bivalvia; Mytilida; Mytilidae.